RNAcentral lists this ribosomal RNA (533 nucleotides) under Paracrocidura maxima. RNAcentral describes it as "partial 16S ribosomal RNA". It matches the Rfam family "Bacterial large subunit ribosomal RNA", at positions 1816 to 2586 of the family's 2925-position model. The record is from RNAcentral. Lineage: Eukaryota; Metazoa; Chordata; Mammalia; Eulipotyphla; Soricidae.
CACCUCUAGCAUUACUAGUAUUAGAGGCAUUGCCUGCCCAGUGACAUUAGUUAAACGGCCGCGGUAUCCUGACCGUGCAAAGGUAGCAUAAUCAUUUGUUCCUUAAUUAGGGACUUGUAUGAAUGGCCCCACGAGGGUUUGACUGUCUCUUACUUUUGAUCAGUGAAAUUGACCUUCCCGUGAAGAGGCGGAAAUAAAAAAAUAAGACGAGAAGACCCUAUGGAGCUUAAAUUAAUAUGUUCAACAAAAUUAAAAUCUAAUCCAACAGGGAUAAUAAUAUUUUAACUGAACAAUAAAUUUUGGUUGGGGUGACCUCGGAGUACAAAAAAACCUCCGAGCGAUUAAAUCAAGACUUACUAGUCAAAAUUAUGUAAUUAAUUGAUCCAAUCAUAUUGAUCAACGAAACAAGUUACCCUAGGGAUAACAGCGCAAUCCUAUUUGAGAGUUCAUAUCGACAAUAGGGUUUACGACCUCGAUGUUGGAUCAGGACACCCAAAUGGUGCAGCAGCUAUUAAAGGUUCGUUUGUUCAACG